CUUUACUGUAGCCUGGUAUUGGGUUCGGGCUUUGACUGCGGAGGAUAGGUGGGAGACUAUGAAGCUGCCCUUGUGGGGGCAGUGGAGUCAUCAGUGAGAUACCACUCUGUCAAGGCUAGAAUUCUAACCGUCUGCCGUUAUCCGGCGACGGAACAGUAUCAGGUGGGCAGUUUGACUGGGGCGGUCGCCUCCUAAAUGGUAACGGAGGCGCGCAAAGGUUCCCUCAGACUGGUUGGAAAUCAGCCGAAGAGUGUAAGGGCAGAAGGGAGCUUGACUGCAAGAGCAACAACUCAAGCAGGGACGAAAGUCGGCCUUAGUGAUCCGACGGCGCUGAGUGGAAGGGCCGUCGCUCAACGGAUAAAAGUUA
RNAcentral lists this ribosomal RNA (367 nucleotides) under uncultured organism. Its description in RNAcentral is "bacterial LSU rRNA". It matches the Rfam family "Bacterial large subunit ribosomal RNA", at positions 2099 to 2465 of the family's 2925-position model. The record is from RNAcentral.